GAUGAACGCUGGCGGCGUGCCUAAUACACGCAAGUCGAGCGAACGGACGAGAAGCUUGCUUCUCUGAUGUUAGCGGCGGACGGGUGAGUAACACGUGGAUAACCUACCUAUAAGACUGGGAUAACUUCGGGAAACCGGAGCUAAUACCGGAUAAUAUUUUGAACCGCAUGGUUCAAAAGUGAAAGACGGUCUUGCUGUCACUUAUAGAUGGAUCCGCGCUGCAUUAGCUAGUUGGUAGGGUAACGGCUUACCAAGGCAACGAUGCAUAGCCGACCUGAGAGGGUGAUCGGCCACACUGGAACUGAGACACGGUCCAGACUCCUACGGGAGGCAGCAGUAGGGAAUCUUCCGCAAUGGGCGAAAGCCUGACGGAGCAACGCCGCGUGAGUGAUGAAGGUCUUCGGAUCGUAAAACUCUGUUAUUAGGGAAGAACAUAUGUGUAAGUAACUGUGCACAUCUUGACGGUACCUAAUCAGAAAGCCACGGCUAACUACGUG
This 497-nucleotide ribosomal RNA is filed under the name uncultured bacterium. Its description in RNAcentral is "partial 16S ribosomal RNA". It matches the Rfam family "Bacterial small subunit ribosomal RNA", at positions 28 to 507 of the family's 1533-position model. The record is from RNAcentral.